Molecule: ribosomal RNA, 574 nt
Filed under: uncultured Mortierella
Lineage: Eukaryota; Fungi; Mortierellomycota; Mortierellomycetes; Mortierellales; Mortierellaceae
Description: eukaryotic LSU rRNA
Rfam family: 5.8S ribosomal RNA (bases 153-306)
Source: RNAcentral
CAUUCAUAAUAAGUGUUUUAUGGCACUUUUUAAAUCCAUAUCCACCUUGUGUGCAAUGUCAGUCGACCUUCUUUAUGGAGAUUGGCCAAACAUCAACCUAAUUUUUUAACUCUUUGUCUGAAAAAUAUUAUGAAUAAAAUAAUUCAAAAUACAACUUUCAACAACGGAUCUCUUGGCUCUCGCAUCGAUGGAGAACGCAGCGAAAUGCGAUACGUAAUGUGAAUUGCAGAAUUCAGUGAAUCAUCGAAUCUUUGAACGCAUAUUGCGCUCUUUGGUAUUCCGAAGAGCAUGCUUGUUUGAGUAUCAGUAAACACCUCAAAGCUUUUGAUUUUUUUUCAAAUGUUUUGGACUUGAGCAAUCCCAACACCAAUCUUUUUUAGAUCGGCGGCGGGUUGCUUGAAAUGCAGGUGCAGCUGGACAUUCUCCUGAGCUAAAAGCAUAUUUAUUUAGUCCCGUCAAACGGAUUAUUACUUUUGCUGCAGCUAAUAUAAAGGGAGUUUGACCAUUUUGGCUGACUGAUGCAGGAUUUCACAAGGGUCGGCAACGAUUCUUGUAAAACUCGAUCUCAAAUCAA